GAGCUAAUCAGCUUCCCAGUUUGCACAAUUCAUCAAGAAAUUAUGCGGGGUCACUGGCACAAAUGAUGAGGCAUCUCCUGGGAGCUUAACUUCUUAUCCAUCCCAUCUCUUGGACAGAUGAUGCCAGUUAAUUACUUUGAAUGCUCUGCUGCUAUGGUGAGCUGCACGUCUGGAGGCUUCACAGAGACACUGGGUGAAUCUAAAUGACGAGUUUGAUGGUGACCUGGAGGUGAAACUGUGACUUCAUGAUGUUCUGGAGGCGGACCUGGGGUCUCCUGCUGGGUCGGAGAAGAUUCGACCUCCCCAGAAGACUCAGAAGGCUGAACUGGCUGCUGCUGCUCACUGAUGGAAAGUUCAUGCUCCAUAGGAGGAACUGGAGGCUCAACUGGGGCCUCCUGUUGGGUUGCAGAAGGUUCCACCUCCUCUGGAAACCGAACUGGGGCCUCCUGCUGGGCUUGGGAAGAUUCUGUCUCAUUGGCAGGCUCUGAAGUUAUGGUAACCUCCACAUCUGCAGGUUUAACUGUAAUGUUGGGCGAGUGAUAAUCAGCUUGAUCCUCACCU
Molecule: long non-coding RNA, 561 nt
Filed under: Pan troglodytes (chimpanzee)
Lineage: Eukaryota; Metazoa; Chordata; Mammalia; Primates; Hominidae
Description: lincRNA
Source: RNAcentral